Long non-coding RNA from Papaver somniferum (opium poppy), 757 nucleotides. RefSeq lists it as uncharacterized. The transcript is spliced from 2 exons. The record is from RefSeq and is a predicted model, not a curated record. NCBI's taxonomy places the organism in Eukaryota, Viridiplantae, Streptophyta, Magnoliopsida, Ranunculales, Papaveraceae.
UCUACACACACACAGAAACCACAAAUCUCAAAGCCAUCUUCAUCUCCUUUCUUUCAUUAAAUCCCAUGUCGACACCAAAUAAAUUUCCCUCUCUCCUUUUCUUUUUUCUCUGUGAUUAAAGACUAGAAAUUUCAGAUUGAAUUAAUAGUCUACCCUAAAGUUUUCAGAUUGAAAUUAAGUUUCAGAUUAAAUUCAUCGGUGAUUAAAUCUCGAAUUCAUUUUCUUCGAUCUGUCUCUCUAAACCCUAAAUUGUAACCCUUGAACCCAUUAAUUGCCUGCCUUAAAGUUUUGAUUUCAUCUUGAUUUUGAGCUCUGAUUUUCGGUAUUGUGACUCAUGAAGUUCUAAAAAGAAGAUUCGUAGGUUUGAAGGAAUUUUAGGGUUUUCAGUGCAUCCAAUUUCGGUAUAAGAGAACAAUCAAAAGAUGGGUUGUAAUAUGAAGAUGGUUUUUUUUUGGUUUGUAAUUGGGUUGUUGUUCUUCUCUGCAAAUUCAUGAAGUUCUGUUUAUAUGGGGUUGCUAUUGUUGCAGGCUUUAAGUUGAAAUACGAACUUAUGAUUUAUGUAUAUUUUUGAUAUCUACAGAUGAUUUCCCUCUAUUUAGAUAACUUCUCUAUGUGGGCAUUUGAUUCAACUGAAAGGGAAGGAUGUUUAAUUUGGGGAAGAACACGAAAUCAGUGUUCUUCUUCAAUAUUGUAACAGUCAUGAAACGAUGUUAAGUAAUUAUUUUUAUUUUUAUUGUUUUGUAAUUAUGAAACAGAA